GACGAACCGUGCGAACGUUAUUCGGAAUCACUGGGCUUAAAGCGCGUGUAGGCGGGCCGGCACGUCGGCGGCUGAAAUCCCCCGGCUCAACCGGGGAAGUGGCCUCGAUACGACCGGCCUGGAGGGGGGUAGGGGGCGCCGGAACUUCCGGUGGAGCGGUGAAAUGCGUUGAGAUCGGAAGGAACGCCCGUGGCGAAAGCGGGCGCCUGGACCCCACCUGACGCUGAGACGCGAAAGCCAGGGGAGCGAACGGG
RNAcentral lists this ribosomal RNA (254 nucleotides) under uncultured bacterium. RNAcentral describes it as "partial 16S ribosomal RNA". It matches the Rfam family "Bacterial small subunit ribosomal RNA", at positions 524 to 776 of the family's 1533-position model. The record is from RNAcentral.